RNAcentral lists this long non-coding RNA (444 nucleotides) under Drosophila guanche. The record is from RNAcentral. Lineage: Eukaryota; Metazoa; Arthropoda; Insecta; Diptera; Drosophilidae.
GGGGUCUUAUCAGUGUGCCAGGACACUCGGUAUGCACUCCAACCCUCUUUUCUGGGAACUUUUAUUCAUUAAUUGAUGCUGCAGUCUGGACUUAAUUGAGCGGAAUACAUGACAUCGGCUUAUGUAUUCAAUUUUCUCAAACAAUUUCCACGCCACAAAAUUUUGUCGGACACAUUCAUUAGACGACUAUGUUCAUUUUCCUCUCUGACACGCUCACUCCUCUCUGAAAACGAUAGAAAUCUUUCACACAUACGAAUAUGUCUUUGUUUAUCUCAAACUUCCAACAAAACUUUCCCAGCAGGUGAGUAAAUUGCUUCGACAAGAUUAUUAAUGUUGAAAUGUUUGCCUUUUGCUCGAGGAAAACGCCUAAAUGAAAUGCAAAUUAAAGUGCAAUGUAAUUGGUUUAAGGCGUGCACAAAAAUAAUUCUUUUAAGAUGAUUAAAU